GAUGAACGCGGGCGGCGUGCUUAACACAUGCAAGUCGAACGAAGCACUUUUAUUUGAUUUCUUCGGCAUGAAGAUGUUAGUGACUGAGUGGCGGACGGGUGAGUAACGCGUGGGUAACUUGCCUCAUCCAGGGGGAUAACAGUUAGAAAUGCCUGCUAAUACCGCUUAAGACCACAGUACCGCAUGGCACAGGGGCAAAAACUCCGGGGGUAUGAGAUGGACCCGCGUCUGAUUAGGUAGUUGGUGGGGUACCGGCCUACCAAGCCGACGAUUAGUAGCAGACCUGAGAGGGUGACCGGCAACAUUGGGACUGAGACACGGCCAAAACUCCUACGGGAGGCAGCAGUGGGGAAUAUUGCACAAUGGGGGAAACCCUGAUGCAGCGACGCCGCGUGAGCGAUGAAGUAUUUCGGUAUGUAAAGCUCUAUCAGCAGGGAAGAAAAUGACGGUACCUGACUAAGAAGCACCGGCUAAAUACGUGCCAGCCGCCGCCGUAA
Molecule: ribosomal RNA, 497 nt
Filed under: uncultured bacterium
Lineage: Bacteria
Description: partial 16S ribosomal RNA
Rfam family: Bacterial small subunit ribosomal RNA
Source: RNAcentral